Papaver somniferum (opium poppy) is the source of this 2318-nucleotide long non-coding RNA. RefSeq lists it as uncharacterized. The transcript has 2 exons. The record is from RefSeq and is a predicted model, not a curated record. NCBI's taxonomy places the organism in Eukaryota, Viridiplantae, Streptophyta, Magnoliopsida, Ranunculales, Papaveraceae.
GUGGCUAAUCUUAGAUACACUCUAAUCUAAUCCUGCGAGCAUAAUUAAGGCAACCAUGAAAAUAUUGGGCGACCCUAUUGCUUAAAAUGAUCGGUAUUUAAGGCAACCAUCCAAAUCUUUGAGACUGGACUAGAUUUAGCUCAACAUUAGCCGGUACUCAUCUAAAGAGAAAAAUUGUGGAGAAAUUGUGACAGCAUGAUCCCGGAUCUGGCUGAUUGGGUUCGACAAAACGAUUUUUCAAAUGAUGAAGAUGAUGAUAAAGCUUUCUACUGGGGAUGAUGAUUAUAAUUUAUGUAUGAGUACUGAAAGUGAAAGUGAUGGUAAUGAGGGUGAUCGGAAAGGCAGGUGGGGACUGGUACCAAUGAUGCCACAAUUUUAGGUGAUGAGAAGCAAAAAUCAGAGGUGUCAGGAACAAGAAUGGAUACAGAAUUGGAUUUUCAUGGUAACAAUUUAAACUUUACUCGUAUUUAUAAUAGAUUUUUUUUUGACGCAGCUUAGUCAAUGUCCAUUCCUAGCAAAGAUAAGCAACAAGCAUAAGAAGAAUAAUCUCUCUAUCCCCAACAUUAGUAAAACAACAAGAAACAGGAGGUCACUUUAUUUUCCUUGUAAAGGUGUGCCAGCAGGUCAAAAACUGUUCCAUCCUCAAGUUCCCGUAGACGAUAUCACGCGCUUAGGUUUCAUUGGAACAGAGAGGGGGGGCUACAGCCAGGUUUAGUCGACCCAUGCUUCCGCCCCUGAUACGGAUUCCUGUUCAUUUAGCAGUAUGAAUUAGUACUGGUUAGACAUGUCCUCUUUUAUUAUAUGUAUCUAAUGAAUUUACAAUUCACAUGUAAAUUCAUGUGUAUCAAAGAUGGAGUUUCAGAGGAGGACAAAUUAGCAGCGAAUAAAGCCACUGAUGGGGAUGCUUCAGAGGAAGAUAUGUCAACUGAGAUGAAGGAGAAGCGAAAGUUACAAGAGGAUGGGGUCGAAUCAGAGCAAAAUGACGGUAUCGAAGCUUCUAUUGAAGUGAAGAAGAACUAGAACUCUAUAAGCACAAGUGUUGCUCAAGUAAGUUGGUAAUAAAAAUGAUUUUCUUUCUCUUUGGUGGUAAGUUAGCUGUAGAGAGGUGUUCUGGGCCAAUACUCCUUGGUGGUUUAGACAAAUUGGACUUAUUCUGCUAUGAUAUUAGUUAGCAAGGGUCAAUACUCAAUAGUGAUGGUUCAUAGGUAAAUCAGUAAUGGAUGGCGAUGAUUGUAGAAACGUUUUAGAGUUUUGCUCAUUUUACAUUUUAAAAUGCCUGUUCAUCUUGAGACCGUGGUCUCAAUUGAUUGAAAAAUUAGUCUCAUUUUGCAAUGGAGCUGCCUGUUAAGUAGCGGUGGAGACCUCCAAAGUGUGAUACUUGUAUGGUAUUUGGACAGUUAGCUAAGAACUGCUCAAAGAUAAGGAAGGCUAAAUGGACACCAAAAAGUACAAGGUCCCUGCUGCCACAUUGCUUAAUGGUGACACCGGAAAGGAAACAGCUGAGAAUAAUCAUAGUUGUAGAGAGAGGGAAGUAAACAACAAUUAAGAGGAUUUGAAUAUUGUUUGCCAAGGUGGUGAUGCUGCAGAGAAUUAUAAAACAGGGGAAAUGAAGGAUGGUAAUGGAGGCACCUUAACUUCAAAUGCAGCUGAAGUGGGUUCAGUUAAAGGGAAGAAUGUUUGCAACGAACCCCUGGUGCUUACUGCAACGGUGGAGUCCAGGUCUGAUAGGAAAAAUUCUUCUCAGGGAGAUUGGUUGUCUGCUGAAGGAAAGAAGACUUCAUCCCGCUGAUUCCCGCAACUGUUAAAGGUGAUAAGUCAGACCUCCUGCAUGCAAAAGAACCCAUUUAUUAUGUUGAGUGACUUCAAAGAAGGAAGAUUUCCCACUAGUACAAGAAAGGGAGAACUCACUGCCAGAAACUCUGAAGACAGAGAACAAAAAGAGAGCCCAUCUCGUUUAAGAUGGAACGGGAAAAAUGGGAAGGAUUGCAAAGAAAGUUUGGGGAGAGGUCAACGAACGCAUAUAAGGAAGUUCUAAAUAUUUUGUUCUUUGCAUUCUUUCUAUUUAGGUUUAGGUCCUUCCCUUUUAUGUGUUGUUUCAGCUGUAUGUAGAGUUGGCUUUUUAGCACUCCAUCUUGUUCUUAAGCUGUGUUUGGAGUUGGCUUUCUAGCACUCCCUCUUGUAUAGCUUAGUCGCUUCUACUUAUUUUUUAUUUUUUUUUGAAGCAUGGCUUCUACUUCUUAUGUUAUCUUACUCCUUUUUGGAUGAAACUAAUAACUAUAAUCUUUUCCAUUGAAGUGAGAAAAAGAACUUUAUAAGCA